Molecule: ribosomal RNA, 221 nt
Filed under: uncultured Aminicenantes bacterium
Lineage: Bacteria; Candidatus Aminicenantota
Description: partial 16S ribosomal RNA
Rfam family: Bacterial small subunit ribosomal RNA
Source: RNAcentral
CGGGGAGGAAGGCGGGGAUGACGUCAAGUCAGCAUGGCCUUUAUGUCCAGGGCUACACACGUGCUACAAUGGGCGAUACAGAGGGAAGCAAGGCCGCAAGGUAGAGCUAAUCCCUAAAGUCGUCCUCAGUUCGGAUUGCAGGCUGCAACUCGCCUGCAUGAAGUCGGAAUCGCUAGUAAUCGCGGAUCAGCUACGCCGCGGUGAAUACGUUCUCGGGCCUU